Molecule: unclassified non-coding RNA, 234 nt
Filed under: Hevea brasiliensis (rubber tree)
Lineage: Eukaryota; Viridiplantae; Streptophyta; Magnoliopsida; Malpighiales; Euphorbiaceae
Source: RNAcentral
GGCGGUCCUCGAGCCAGGAGACACUGGCGACGAGGUAGGGACGGUUGCGGAGGAUGCGGGAGACGCGGAACCGCUCCUGGCCCUUGCAUAUGAGAAAGAAGCGGUCGUCGGCGAGGCGCUCGUGCUUGACGAUCUCGCCGACGCAGCCGACUUCAGCGAGGGCGCCGGAAUCGGAGAAGAUGACGCCGAAGCGGAGGUCAGUGUGGAGGAGUGUGUGCAUCAUGAUGCGGUAGC